Molecule: ribosomal RNA, 253 nt
Filed under: uncultured prokaryote
Description: partial 16S ribosomal RNA
Rfam family: Bacterial small subunit ribosomal RNA
Source: RNAcentral
UACAGAGGUCCCAAGCGUUGUUCGGAUUCACUGGGCGUAAAGGGUGCGUAGGUGGUCGGGUAAGUUUAAGGUGUAAGCUCCGGGCUCAACCCGGAAAUGGCCUUGAAUACUAUCCGGCUCGAGGGUUGGAGGGGGGACUGGAAUUCUCGGUGUAGCAGUGAAAUGCGUAGAUAUCGAGAGGAACACCAGUGGCGAAGGCGAGUCCCUGGACAACACCUGACACUGAGGCACGAAAGCUAGGGGAGCAAACGGG